CUUUUACAAUGAAGAGUUUGAUCCUGGCUCAGGAUGAACGCUAGCUACAGGCUUAACACAUGCAAGUCGAGGGGCAUCAGGAAGAAAGCUUGCUUUCUUUGCUGGCGACCGGCGCACGGGUGAGUAACACGUAUCCAACCUGCCCUUUACUCGGGGAUAGCCUUUCGAAAGAAAGAUUAAUACCCGAUAGCAUAAUGAUUCCGCAUGGUUUCAUUAUUAAAGGAUUCCGGUAAAGGAUGGGGAUGCGUUCCAUUAGGUUGUUGGUGAGGUAACGGCUCACCAAGCCUUCGAUGGAUAGGGGUUCUGAGAGGAAGGUCCCCCACAUUGGAACUGAGACACGGUCCAAACUCCUACGGGAGGCAGCAGUGAGGAAUAUUGGUCAAUGGGCGCUAGCCUGAACCAGCCAAGUAGCGUGAAGGAUGAAGGCUCUAUGGGUCGUAAACUUCUUUUAUAUAAGAAUAAAGUGCAGUAUGUAUACUGUUUUGUAUGUAUUAUAUGAAUAAGGAUCGGCUAACUCCGUGCCAGCAGCCGCGGUAAUACGGAGGAUCCGAGCGUUAUCCGGAUUUAUUGGGUUUAAAGGGAGCGUAGGUGGACUGGUAAGUCAGUUGUGAAAGUUUGCGGCUCAACCGUAAAAUUGCAGUUGAUACUGUCAGUCUUGAGUACAGUAGAGGUGGGCGGAAUUCGUGGUGUAGCGGUGAAAUGCUUAGAUAUCACGAAGAACUCCGAUUGCGAAGGCAGCUCACUGGACUGCAACUGACACUGAUGCUCGAAAGUGUGGGUAUCAAACAGGAUUAGAUACCCUGGUAGUCCACACAGUAAACGAUGAAUACUCGCUGUUUGCGAUAUACAGUAAGCGGCCAAGCGAAAGCAUUAAGUAUUCCACCUGGGGAGUACGCCGGCAACGGUGAAACUCAAAGGAAUUGACGGGGGCCCGCACAAGCGGAGGAACAUGUGGUUUAAUUCGAUGAUACGCGAGGAACCUUACCCGGGCUUAAAUUGCAGUGGAAUGAUGUGGAAACAUGUCAGUGAGCAAUCACCGCUGUGAAGGUGCUGCAUGGUUGUCGUCAGCUCGUGCCGUGAGGUGUCGGCUUAAGUGCCAUAACGAGCGCAACCCUUAUCUUUAGUUACUAACAGGUUAUGCUGAGGACUCUAGAGAGACUGCCGUCGUAAGAUGUGAGGAAGGUGGGGAUGACGUCAAAUCAGCACGGCCCUUACGUCCGGGGCUACACACGUGUUACAAUGGGGGGUACAGAAGGCAGCUAGCGGGUGACCGUAUGCUAAUCCCAAAAGCCUCUCUCAGUUCGGAUCGAAGUCUGCAACCCGACUUCGUGAAGCUGGAUUCGCUAGUAAUCGCGCAUCAGCCACGGCGCGGUGAAUACGUUCCCGGGCCUUGUACACACCGCCCGUCAAGCCAUGGGAGCCGGGGGUACCUGAAGUACGUAACCGCAAGGAUCGUCCUAGGGUAAAACUGGUGACUGGGGCUAAGUCGUAACAAGGUAGCCGUACCGGAAGGUGCGGCUGGAACACCUCCUUUCU
RNAcentral lists this ribosomal RNA (1536 nucleotides) under Bacteroides fragilis. Its description in RNAcentral is "bacterial SSU rRNA". It matches the Rfam family "Bacterial small subunit ribosomal RNA". The record is from RNAcentral. Lineage: Bacteria; Pseudomonadati; Bacteroidota; Bacteroidia; Bacteroidales; Bacteroidaceae.